RNAcentral lists this unclassified non-coding RNA (1238 nucleotides) under Hevea brasiliensis (rubber tree). Lineage: Eukaryota; Viridiplantae; Streptophyta; Magnoliopsida; Malpighiales; Euphorbiaceae. The record is from RNAcentral.
GACCUAAAUUUCCAUUAAAAAUAAGUAGUAUUAAAUUUUGAAAACCCCAUGAAAAAUGCAAUUAUAUAUGUAAUGAAAUUAAGGGAAAUGUGGGGGAUUAAUUGCAAUUAUUAAAACUUGAAUAUUAUAAUGAUUAAUUAAAUGGUAGUGGAGUAUAAAAGGGACUUGAGGACAGAAUUUACCACUUAAAAACUUCAUCUUCUUCAACUCAUUUCAUCAUGGCUGAUUCAAGCUUCUCUCAAAUUCUCCAUGGCCAUCCCACAUGCAAGCUCCCAAUCCACCAUGUUCAAGCCAUGAUCUUCACAAAUUCUUUCACUAAAGUUGAUCCUUACCUCAUGGGAAAGCCAUAGGCAGCAAAAGGAAGAAGAAAUUCUAAGGUUUCACAAGCUUGGGAAAGUCUUAAUUCAAGGUUAGUGCCUAAUUUUUCUAUCAUUCUUUCUUAGUCCUUGAUUUGAGGUUGAAUUGAGUUAGUAUGAUGAGGAAAUUGAAGAAAUUGAUGGGUAUUUAGGAGACCUUCAAUUUGGCAGCCAUAAGAACCAUGGGUGAUUGAUUAAUUUUUACUUGCAAAUGAUGAUUAGGGAUGUGGAUUAAAGUGAUUAUAUGUAUUAGAAUUUAAGUGUAUGUGAUAGGUAUAAAUUGGGAAAAAUUGAAGUAGGGUUUGAUGAUUAAAUUGGGGAUUUUGUGUAAUUGUUGAAUUGUGGCAGCCUUGAGAAGCAUUGAAGGUUGAUAUUUUCAUGCAUUUAAAUGGUGAUUAGUGAAGUAGAUUAAGCUAAUUAUAUGUAAUAGCAAAUUGAUGUCAUGUGCGUGUUAAAGUUGACAAUUUGAAUUAGGUUUGAACAAAUUAUUGAUGACUUGGAGUAAUUGCUUCAUUUUGGCAGCCUUGAUGGACUAAGAAGAUUGAUAAUCCCAUGAAUUUCAAUGUUGAUUUAUGGUGUUGAUGAAUUAGGGGAAAUGUAUGGUAAAUUGUUAGUUGAAAUUUCAUGUAUUAGCUAGUUGUUUUUAUGUAUAUAUAUUGUUGACUUUGACCUUGUGAAUUAGGGUUUUGUAUUGAAUAUUGAGGACUUGUGUAAACUGCUCAAAUUAACCAAUUUGAGAUUUGAUGAAUGAUUUUAGAAUGUUAUGAAUCCAGAAUUUAGGUAUGGUAGAUGAAGGAAUAGGAAUUUGAAGUGUAAUGUUUGUGCAUUUGAGAAAUUGGUUGAGGGCAGUAUGUGUUUGGAGCCCUAACCUAAAUUGUGUGA